GUGCUCGCUUUGGCAGCAUAUAUACUAAAAUUGGAACGAUACAGAGAAGAUUAGCAUGGCCCCUGCACAAGGAUGAAACACUGUGCGUCAUGGACUUUCCCUGGAGUU
Molecule: small nuclear RNA, 108 nt
Organism: Crotalus tigris (Tiger rattlesnake)
Lineage: Eukaryota; Metazoa; Chordata; Lepidosauria; Squamata; Viperidae
Source: RefSeq, a predicted model, not a curated record